This 468-nucleotide ribosomal RNA is filed under the name uncultured bacterium. Its description in RNAcentral is "partial 16S ribosomal RNA". It matches the Rfam family "Bacterial small subunit ribosomal RNA", at positions 28 to 507 of the family's 1533-position model. The record is from RNAcentral.
GACGAACGCUGGCGGCGUGCUUAACACAUGCAAGUCGAACGGAAAGGCCCUGCUUUUGUGGGGUGCUCGAGUGGCGAACGGGUGAGUAACACGUGAGUAACCUGCCCUUGACUUUGGGAUAACUUCAGGAAACUGGGGCUAAUACCGGAUAGGAGCUCCUGCUGCAUGGUGGGGGUUGGAAAGUUUCGGCGGUUGGGGAUGUACUCGCGGCUUAUCAGCUUGUUGGUGGGGUAGUGGCUUACCAAGGCUUUGACGGGUAGCCGGCCUGUGAGGGUUACCGGCCACAUUGGGACUGAGAUACGGCCCAGACUGUUACGGGAGGCAGCAGUGGGGAAUAUUGUACAAUGGGCGGAAGCCUGAUGCAGCAACGCCGCGUGCGGGAUGACGGCCUUCGGGUUGUAAACCGCUUUCGCCUGUGACGAAGCGUGAGUGACGGUAAUGGGUAAAGAAGCACCGGCUAACUACGUG